RNAcentral lists this ribosomal RNA (449 nucleotides) under uncultured bacterium. RNAcentral's name for it is "partial 16S ribosomal RNA". It matches the Rfam family "Bacterial small subunit ribosomal RNA", at positions 29 to 523 of the family's 1533-position model. The record is from RNAcentral.
AACGAACGCUGGCGGCAGGCUUAACACAUGCAAGUCGAACGCAUCCUUCGGGGUGAGUGGCAGACGGGUGAGUAACGCGUGGGAACGUGCCCUUCAGUUCGGAAUAACCCAGGGAAACUUGGGCUAAUACCGGAUACGUGCGAGAGCAGAAAGAAUUAUCGCUGAAGGAUCGGCCCGCGUCUGAUUAGCGAGUUGGUGGGGUAAUAGCCCACCAAGGCGACGAUCAGUAGCUGGUCUGAGAGGAUGAUCAGCCACAUUGGGACUGAGACACGGCCCAAACUCCUACGGGAGGCAGCAGUGGGGAAUAUUGGACAAUGGGCGCAAGCCUGAUCCAGCCAUGCCGCGUGAGUGAUGACGGCCUUAGGGUUGUAAAGCUCUUUCGUCCGGGACGAUAAUGACGGUACCGGAAGAAGAAGCCCCGGCUAACUUCGUGCCAGCAGCCGCCGUAA